This 206-nucleotide ribosomal RNA is filed under the name uncultured bacterium. RNAcentral's name for it is "partial 16S ribosomal RNA". It matches the Rfam family "Bacterial small subunit ribosomal RNA", at positions 524 to 727 of the family's 1533-position model. The record is from RNAcentral.
UACAGGGGGUGCAAACGUUGCUCGGAAUCAUUGGGCGUAAAGCGCACGUAGGCGGUUCGUUAUGUCGGAUGUGAAAGCCCUUGGCUUAACCGAGGAAGUGCAUCCGAAACUGGCGAGCUAGAGUACGAAAGAGGAUCGCGGAAUUCCCGGUGUAGAGGUGAAAUUCGUAGAUAUUCGCAAGAACACCAGUCGGCGGAAGGCGGAGC